UACGAAGGGGGCUAGCGUUGCUCGGAAUUACUGGGCGUAAAGCGCACGUAGGCGGUCUUUUAAGUCGGGGGUGAAAUCCUGGAGCUCAACUCCAGAACUGCCUUCGAUACUGGAAGACUUGAGUCCGGGAGAGGUGAGUGGAACUGCGAGUGUAGAGGUGAAAUUCGUAGAUAUUCGCAAGAACACCAGUGGCGAAGGCGGCUCACUGGCCCGGUACUGACGCUGAGGUGCGAAAGCGUGGGGAGCGAACCGG
Molecule: ribosomal RNA, 253 nt
Filed under: uncultured bacterium
Lineage: Bacteria
Description: partial 16S ribosomal RNA
Rfam family: Bacterial small subunit ribosomal RNA
Source: RNAcentral